GUCUGCGUCUCCUUAGCUAUGUUGGUGGGGUAACGGCCUACCAAUGCAACGAUGGGUAUCCGAUCUGAUAGGAUGAUCCGGCCACACUGGAACUGAAUCCCGGUCCAGUCUCCUACGGGAGGCAGCAGUGGGGAAUAUUGCGCAAUGUGCGAAAGCCUGACGUAGCGACGUCGCGUGAGGGAUUAAGGUCUUCGGAUCGUAAACUUCUGUCAGAAGGGAAGAAACUAGGGUGCUCUACUCAUCAUCCUACUGACGGUACCUUCAAAGGAAGCACCGGUUAACUCCGUGCCAGCAGCCGCGGUAAUACGGAGGGUGCAUGCGUUAAUCGGAAUCACUGGGCGUAAAGCGCACGUAGGCUGUUAUGUAAGUCUGGGGUGAAAUCCCACUGCUCAACCGUGGAACUGCCCUUGAUACUGCACGACUUGAAUCCGGGAGAGGGUGGCGGAAUUCCAGGUGUAGGAGUGAAAUCCGUAUAUAUCUGGAGGAACAUCAGUGGCGAAGGCGGCCACUUGGUCCGGUAUUGAUCGCUGAGGUGCCAAAGCGUGGGGAGCAAACACGGAUUACGAUACCCUGGUAGUCCACGCCGUAAACGAUGAACACU
RNAcentral lists this ribosomal RNA (601 nucleotides) under uncultured Desulfovibrio sp. RNAcentral's name for it is "bacterial SSU rRNA". It matches the Rfam family "Bacterial small subunit ribosomal RNA", at positions 229 to 817 of the family's 1533-position model. Lineage: Bacteria; Pseudomonadati; Thermodesulfobacteriota; Desulfovibrionia; Desulfovibrionales; Desulfovibrionaceae. The record is from RNAcentral.